AAUCAACGCUGGCGGCGUGCCUAACACAUGCAAGUCGAGCGAGAAAGGGGCUUCGGCCCUGAGUAAAGCGGCGCACGGGUGAGUAACACGUGGGUAAUCUGCCCUAGAGUGGGGGAAUAACGUCGGGAAACCGACGCUAAUACCGCAUACGAUCAUUGGGUCUUCGGAUUCGAUGAUGAAAGGAGCAAUCCGCUCUUGGAGGAGCCCGCGGCUGAUUAGCUAGUUGGAAGGUAAUGGCUUACCAAGGCAACGAUCAGUAUCCGGUCUGAGAGGACGGUCGGACACACUGGAACUGAGACACGGUCCAGACUCCUACGGGAGGCAGCAGUGGGGGAAUUUUUCG
RNAcentral lists this ribosomal RNA (343 nucleotides) under uncultured bacterium. Its description in RNAcentral is "bacterial SSU rRNA". It matches the Rfam family "Bacterial small subunit ribosomal RNA", at positions 32 to 368 of the family's 1533-position model. The record is from RNAcentral.